RNAcentral lists this non-coding RNA (84 nucleotides) under unclassified sequences. The record is from RNAcentral.
CGCUCUUUGCCACCGGGUAAAGGGAGAAACGUCAUUUUCUUAUCGUUAGGUCUUUGAAGAUAAGGAAAUGGCGAUUUAUAUUUU